AUCGUUUCUCAGCCUUUUGGCUAAGAUCAUGUGUAGUAGUAUCUGUUCUUAUCAGAAGCUUAGGGGUCCCUGAAAUCUGGGCUCUGCAUAGGUCAGAGGGUAGGUAGCAAGCAGGCUGGUUUCCGAUCCCCA
This 132-nucleotide small nuclear RNA is filed under the name Zalophus californianus (California sea lion). Its description in RNAcentral is "U2 spliceosomal RNA (ENSZCAG00015020319.1)". It matches the Rfam family "U2 spliceosomal RNA". Rfam says of the family: U2 is a small nuclear RNA (snRNA) component of the spliceosome (involved in pre-mRNA splicing). Complementary binding between U2 snRNA (in an area lying towards the 5' end but 3' to hairpin I) and the branchpoint sequence (BPS) of the intron results the bulging out of an unpaired adenosine, on the BPS, which initiates a nucleophilic attack at the intronic 5' splice site, thus starting the first of two transesterification reactions that mediate splicing. Lineage: Eukaryota; Metazoa; Chordata; Mammalia; Carnivora; Otariidae. The record is from RNAcentral.